RNAcentral lists this ribosomal RNA (484 nucleotides) under uncultured bacterium. RNAcentral's name for it is "partial 16S ribosomal RNA". It matches the Rfam family "Bacterial small subunit ribosomal RNA", at positions 29 to 507 of the family's 1533-position model. The record is from RNAcentral.
AUUGAACGCUGGCGGCAUGCCUUACACAUGCAAGUCGAGCGGCAGCACGGGGGCAACCCUGGUGGCGAGUGGCGAACGGGUGAGUAAUACAUCGGAACGUGUCCUGUAGUGGGGGAUAGCCCGGCGAAAGCCGGAUUAAUACCGCAUACGCUCUACGGAGGAAAGGGGGGGAUCUUAGGACCUCCCGCUACAGGGGCGGCCGAUGGCAGAUUAGCUAGUUGGUGGGGUAAAGGCCUACCAAGGCGACGAUCUGUAGCUGGUCUGAGAGGACGACCAGCCACACUGGGACUGAGACACGGCCCAGACUCCUACGGGAGGCAGCAGUGGGGAAUUUUGGACAAUGGGGGCAACCCUGAUCCAGCAAUGCCGCGUGUGUGAAGAAGGCCUUCGGGUUGUAAAGCACUUUUGUCCGGAAAGAAAACGCCGUGGUUAAUACCCGUGGCGGAUGACGGUACCGGAAGAAUAAGCACCGGCUAACUACGUG